GCGGGAUUGGUGUAGAGGUAGCACGGAGGCCUUCCAAGCCUGCGGCAGCGGUUCGAUCCCGCUAUCCCGCC
RNAcentral lists this transfer RNA (71 nucleotides) under Chloroflexota bacterium. RNAcentral describes it as "Chloroflexi bacterium (marine metagenome) tRNA-Gly". It matches the Rfam family "tRNA". Rfam says of the family: Transfer RNA (tRNA) molecules are approximately 80 nucleotides in length. Their secondary structure includes four short double-helical elements and three loops (D, anti-codon, and T loops). Lineage: Bacteria; Bacillati; Chloroflexota. The record is from RNAcentral.